RNAcentral lists this ribosomal RNA (1342 nucleotides) under uncultured bacterium. Its description in RNAcentral is "bacterial SSU rRNA". It matches the Rfam family "Bacterial small subunit ribosomal RNA", at positions 28 to 1381 of the family's 1533-position model. The record is from RNAcentral.
GACGAACGCUGGCGGCGUGCUUAACACAUGCAAGUCGAACGGUGAUGUCAGAGCUUGCUCUGGCGGAUCAGUGGCGAACGGGUGAGUAACACGUGAGUAACCUGCCCCCGACUCUGGGAUAACUGCUAGAAAUGGUAGCUAAUACCGGAUAUGACGAUUGGCCGCAUGGUCUGGUCGUGGAAAGAAUUUCGGUUGGGGAUGGACUCGCGGCCUAUCAGGUUGUUGGUGAGGUAAUGGCUCACCAAGCCUACGACGGGUAGCCGGCCUGAGAGGGUGACCGGCCACACUGGGACUGAGACACGGCCCAGACUCCUACGGGAGGCAGCAGUGGGGAAUAUUGCACAAUGGGCGAAAGCCUGAUGCAGCAACGCCGCGUGAGGGAUGACGGCCUUCGGGUUGUAAACCUCUUUUAGUAGGGAAGAAGCGAAAGUGACGGUACCUGCAGAAAAAGCACCGGCUAACUACGUGCCAGCAGCCGCGGUAAUACGUAGGGUGCAAGCGUUGUCCGGAAUUAUUGGGCGUAAAGAGCUCGUAGGCGGUUUGUCGCGUCUGCUGUGAAAUCCCGAGGCUCAACCUCGGGUCUGCAGUGGGUACGGGCAGACUAGAGUGCGGUAGGGGAGAUUGGAAUUCCUGGUGUAGCGGUGGAAUGCGCAGAUAUCAGGAGGAACACCGAUGGCGAAGGCAGAUCUCUGGGCCGUAACUGACGCUGAGGAGCGAAAGCAUGGGGAGCGAACAGGAUUAGAUACCCUGGUAGUCCAUGCCGUAAACGUUGGGAACUAGAUGUGGGGACCAUUCCACGGUCUCCGUGUCGCAGCUAACGCAUUAAGUUCCCCGCCUGGGGAGUACGGCCGCAGGGCUAAAACUCAAAGGAAUUGACGGGGGCCCGCACAAGCGGCGGAGCAUGCGGAUUAAUUCGAUGCAACGCGAAGAACCUUACCAAGGCUUGACAUAUACCGGAAACAUGCAGAAAUGUGUGCCCCGCAAGGUCGGUAUACAGGUGGUGCAUGGUUGUCGUCAGCUCGUGUCGUGAGAUGUUGGGUUAAGUCCCGCAACGAGCGCAACCCUCGUUCUAUGUUGCCAGCACGUAAUGGUGGGAACUCAUAGGAGACUGCCGGGGUCAACUCGGAGGAAGGUGGGGAUGACGUCAAAUCAUCAUGCCCCUUAUGUCUUGGGCUUCACGCAUGCUACAAUGGCCGGUACAAAGGGCUGCGAUACCGUAAGGUGGAGCGAAUCCCAAAAAGCCGGUCUCAGUUCGGAUUGAGGUCUGCAACUCGACCUCAUGAAGUCGGAGUCGCUAGUAAUCGCAGAUCAGCAACGCUGCGGUGAAUACGUUCCCGGGCCU